Molecule: ribosomal RNA, 478 nt
Filed under: uncultured Pseudomonadota bacterium
Lineage: Bacteria; Pseudomonadati; Pseudomonadota
Description: bacterial SSU rRNA
Rfam family: Bacterial small subunit ribosomal RNA
Source: RNAcentral
AGAGUUUGAUCAUGGCUCAGAACGAACGCUGGCGGCAGGCCUAACACAUGCAAGUCGAACGAGAAGCCACCUUCGGGUGGUAGACAGUGGCAGACGGGUGAGUAACGCGUGGGAACGUGCCUUUCGGUUCGGGAUAACCCAGGGAAACUUGGGCUAAUACCGGAUACGCCCUUCGGGGGAAAGAUUCAUUGCCGAAAGAUCGGCCCGCGUCGGAUUAGCUAGUUGGUGGGGUAAUGGCCUACCAAGGCGACGAUCCGUAGCUGGUCUGAGAGGAUGACCAGCCACACUGGGACUGAGACACGGCCCAGACUCCUACGGGAGGCAGCAGUGGGGAAUAUUGGACAAUGGGCGCAAGCCUGAUCCAGCCAUGCCGCGUGGGUGAAGAAGGCCUUAGGGUUGUAAACCCCUUUCAGCGGGGAAGAUAAUGACGGUACCCGCAGAAGAAGUCCCGGCUAACUCCGUGCCAGCAGCCGCGGUA